GCUUGAUGAUGAGAUGAAUUGGAUGACACCUUCCAUUCCUGCAAAAGGAGUCUGGGGUC
Molecule: small nucleolar RNA, 59 nt
Organism: Callithrix jacchus (white-tufted-ear marmoset)
Lineage: Eukaryota; Metazoa; Chordata; Mammalia; Primates; Cebidae
Gene: SNORD108
Product: small nucleolar RNA, C/D box 108
Source: Ensembl